RNAcentral lists this ribosomal RNA (350 nucleotides) under Terebra straminea. Its description in RNAcentral is "partial 12S ribosomal RNA". The record is from RNAcentral. Lineage: Eukaryota; Metazoa; Mollusca; Gastropoda; Neogastropoda; Terebridae.
UACUAGAGUACUAUGAAUAGUUGUAAUUUAAAACUCAAAGAACUUGGCGGUGUUUUAGACCAUUUAGGGGAACCUGUCUCAUAAUCGACAAUCCACGUUGUACCUGACCCUUUUUUGUUUUUCAGUUUGUAUACCGUUGUCGUCAGGUAACUUUUUAGAAAAUAGAAGUUGGCUGGAAAAAUAAGGAUGAUUUAAUACGUCAAAUCAAGGUGCAGCUAAUAAAAGGGGGAGGAUGGGUUACAGUUAUAUAUUUAUAAAUACGGACGGUCGCGUGUAAGUGUGAUUUGUGAAGGCGGACUUAAAAGUAAAUUAGGUUAUAAGAAUAAUUUGAAUAAGGCUCUGAAACGUGU